This 269-nucleotide ribosomal RNA is filed under the name uncultured Eubacteriales bacterium. RNAcentral's name for it is "uncultured Clostridiales bacterium partial 16S ribosomal RNA". It matches the Rfam family "Bacterial small subunit ribosomal RNA", at positions 74 to 339 of the family's 1533-position model. The record is from RNAcentral. Lineage: Bacteria; Bacillati; Bacillota; Clostridia; Eubacteriales.
AGAAGCUUGCUUCUUAUCAAUUCGAGUGGCAAACGGGUGAGUAACGCGUAAGCAACCUGCCCUUCAGAUGGGGACAACAGCUGGAAACGGCUGCUAAUACCGCAUAACGCGUAGAGGUCGCAUGGCCUUUACGCCAAAGAUUUAUCGCUGAAAGAUGGCCUCGCGUCUGAUUAGCUAGUUGGUGAGGUAACGGCCCACCAAGCCGACGAUCGGUAGCCGACCUGAGAGGGUGAUCGGCCACAUUGGGACUGAGACACGGCCCAAACUCC